AGUUAAUGGAUAUUGUUAUAAAGGGGGAUUGGAUAUGAAAGGGUACUAUAAAUUAGUGAGUUCCUGUAAUCCACUUAACUAGUGCCCUAUGAUGGAUAUGUACACUAUUUCCAGUUUUUCAAUGCUAUUUAUUUGCUUUCGUUCCCGAACAUUGCAUUCAUACAAAGCCAUCAAUUCAGACAAAGCAAGGAAAACUUAAACAUGGACCAGAAAUAGGUAACAUUUCAGAAUUCAAAGUUAUAAAGAUAACCAAUCUCAUAUCCUCAUGCAUUUAAAAAGCAAUCUGCCAUUCAAGCAAAUGUACUUAACUUUCACCACCAACAUUGCGCCGCCAGUCCAGGCUGCAUCCUGCACACCUGGAUGACGCGGCAGCCUCCAGAGAACACGCUGCCCCACAGUCUACUGAGUACAGCUGGCAAAGUGAUCCUUUUAAAAUAGAAGGCAGGGCCGGCCCACUGAUGAAACAAAUACUGCAACAGAUGAACCAAAUAUUGAAUAGAUCACCAAAUAGAUGAAACAAGAUUUGGUGCAAGAUGGCAAAAAUACAAAAGCAGAUCGGUUCUUCAAGUAUUUCUGUUUUACACAAACCACGCUGAACAGUGAAUGAAGUAAAUACAACCCGGGAAAUUACCAAUGAAGUAUAUGAGGCCGUAAAAAACAAGAAUAUAUACACCUGGGUUGAGUGGAGAACUGAAUGCAUCUACCUACUUUUUCUUUUUCCCAAAACCCAGUUAAAAUUGCAAUAAUGAAACUAGGAAGGGCUCAAAGGCUACUGGAAUUGUGUCAAAGACACCAAAGUCAGUUUAGAGGGGCAGACAACCCCCCUAAUUUUGGGAUGACUUGAGCAUCAAAAAUAAUGAGUGUGGGGCCAGCCAAGUGGUGCAGCAGUUAAGUUCGCAAGUUCCGCUUCUCAGCAGCCCAGGGUUCCCGGUUCAGAUCCUGGGUGCAGACAUGGCACCGCCUGGCAAGCCAUGCUGUGGUAGGCGUCCCACAUACAAAGUAGAGGAAGAUGAGCACACAUGUUAGCUCAGGGCCAGGCCUCCUCAACAAAAAGAGGAGGAUUGGUGGUAGUUAGCUCAGGGCUAAUCUUCCUCAAAAAAAAUAAUGAGUGCAAUUGCUGGUAACAUGUUAACUAAUAAGAGUCCAUGAGUCCAGUGACAGGAGGAAGGAGGGACAGAGUGAGAGAUUAGAUGAUUAUUUUUGCAACUACAGAAUAAUUGAUUCAGGCAAAGAUCAUUCAUUGAUGCUAAAACAGUUAGGUGAAAAGUCUGGAACUGGAUCUCCACACAGACACAAAGCAUCGCCCCUCAGAUUGCCUGCUCGCUAGAAAGAGUAUAAAAUACCUUUCCAGUGGGGUUUCCUCGGCACCUAACGGAAAUGUACCCUUUCUCUGCAGAACUGGAUUUGAGCUUGCCUCUCACUUUUUCAAAACUAAACACACAUUUUUAAGGACACACGUAAGUGCCAGAGAGUGAUGAACACAAAAACCAGAAUCACAGUUCUCUCUGGGAACGCAGAAAGAGUAUCCAACCAGGGACUCCCAAGAGGACUUCUGGGUUGCUGGAAAUGAUAUGCUGGUGUUUUUAUUUCUGGUCUUUAAACCGUACAAUGCUUUACGUACUCAUGGUCACCAAUGUUUAAUGACACCCAAUGAUCCCCACUCCCUAGUACACACACCUUUGUGUAAUCACCUCCCCU
Equus caballus (horse) is the source of this 1698-nucleotide long non-coding RNA. NCBI's taxonomy places the organism in Eukaryota, Metazoa, Chordata, Mammalia, Perissodactyla, Equidae. The record is from Ensembl.